This 255-nucleotide ribosomal RNA is filed under the name uncultured bacterium. RNAcentral describes it as "partial 16S ribosomal RNA". It matches the Rfam family "Bacterial small subunit ribosomal RNA", at positions 524 to 777 of the family's 1533-position model. The record is from RNAcentral.
UACAGAGGGGCAAGCGUUGUUCGGAAUUACUGGGCGUAAAGGGCGCGUAGGCGGCCUGCUAAGUCGAACGUGAAAUCCCCGAGCUCAACUCGGGAACUGCGUCCGAUACUGGCAGGCUUGAAUCCGGGAGAGGGAUGCGGAAUUCCAGGUGUAGCGGUGAAAUGCGUAGAGUAUCUGGAGGAACACCGGUGGCGAAGGCGGGUCUCUGGGCCGAUACUGGACGCUGAGGAGCGAAAGCGUGGGGAGCGAACAGGG